GACGAACGCUGGCGGCGCGCUUAACACAUGCGAGUCGAACGGAAAGGCCUGCUUUCCCUUGUGGAUUGCGGGUACUCGAGUGGCGAACGGGUGAGUAACACGUGAGUGAUCUGCCCCCAACUUGGGUAUAAGCCUGGGAAACUGGGUCUAAUUCCCGAUAGGACUGCAGGGUGGUGCCUGUGGUGGAAAACGAUUUUCUAGUGGUUGGGGAUGAGCUCGCGGCCUAUCAGCUUGUUGGUGGGGUAAUGGCCUACCAAGGCGGCGACGGGUAGCCGGCCUGGGAGGGUGGACAGCCACAUUGGGACUGAGAUACGGCCCAGACUCCUACGGGAGGCAGCAGUGGGGAAUAUUGCACACUGGGCGGAAGCCUGAUGCAGCGACGCCGCGUGGGGGAUGACGGCCUUCGGGUUGUAAACUCCUUUCGACCGCGAGGAAGCCACCUGGUUGGAAGGGUGGUGACGGUAGUGGUAGAAGAAGCACCGGCUAACUACGUG
RNAcentral lists this ribosomal RNA (494 nucleotides) under uncultured bacterium. RNAcentral describes it as "partial 16S ribosomal RNA". It matches the Rfam family "Bacterial small subunit ribosomal RNA", at positions 28 to 507 of the family's 1533-position model. The record is from RNAcentral.